Molecule: long non-coding RNA, 237 nt
Organism: Silurus meridionalis
Lineage: Eukaryota; Metazoa; Chordata; Actinopteri; Siluriformes; Siluridae
Exons: 4
Source: RefSeq, a predicted model, not a curated record
GAAUGAAGACGGAGCCCAAAGAAGGGGUCGAGAUGAGAGAAGCCCACCCUCCCGGAUCUCAGCCAGAAGAAAGAGUUCCGAAUAUGCCGCCAUCCUAAAUCCAGUGCUCCUCACAGUUCGUUAAGGUUACUUUUCCAUAAAGGAGAGUGAGGAGUGCUGGACCAUUUUUAUUUGUUUUUAUGUUCAUUUUGUUCAGUUUGUGUUAAUGUUAUUAUUGUUAUUGUUAUUAUUAUUAUU